ACAGGAUCUUUUUUUUUUACAUGUUAGAAAAUCGCUCCUUUGUUGCUUUUUAACCUCCUCAAACUGUAUUUCAAUUUCUUGUUUAUCGUAUCCCUUUUUGUAAAAUUGUUCCUUUAAUACCUGUGAUUGUUUAAUAAAUUCAGAUGUCCCCUCUGAUGAGCUUAUGAGCGAAACGCGCGUCAGGGCAACCAGGACUUUAUCAAAUUGACCACUAACUUACCUAGACGUUACAGCAGAAUGCUCUAUUACACUGCUAUCCAGCUCUGUUAACUCUCGGAUUUGCCGAGUUUAUAUAUUUUUCAUCUUCUACUUAUUAUUUUUUUCACAGGCCACUUUACACUCCAUACUUACCCUGCGCUGAUUUCUCCACUCUGCUGUACCACGAAUGGGGAGGGUGGUUUCCUCUGCUAUAUACAAGCCAGGAAAAGCUUUUUUGUUAAGGGGUGCCCUCGAAGGCACAGUAGGGAAAGUUCAACUAUAUCUCAGAUGAACUAUCUCUUCUUCCCUCCCUCUUUUAACACCCAGCCAUUUAAGCCUGCAAUGAUGUUAAAACUUCUAUCAUUAGCAUUAAUAUCUGGACGCUUAAUAUAGACCUUUUAGAGGUUCUAUAGGAAUAUACUGCUUCCCGGAGCAGGCUGAUCAACACGGGUUAAAAUAAUUAUACAAUCUGUACCGGCUAUAAUUUAUCCCUAUAUACACACUUACCCUCCGCUGAGUCCAUCUCUUUCCUGGGCUAUAUCAGAAGUGGGGAGGACAGCUCAGCAGGGUACAUAUCAGACAGGGUAGGUGGUUUGCAUAAGGGGUACUCUCGUCUGUCUGUCACUGUUA
Molecule: non-coding RNA, 828 nt
Organism: Pelobates cultripes (western spadefoot toad)
Lineage: Eukaryota; Metazoa; Chordata; Amphibia; Anura; Pelobatidae
Source: the annotation of a GenBank genome assembly